This 73-nucleotide transfer RNA is filed under the name Phrynosoma platyrhinos (Desert horned lizard). RNAcentral's name for it is "tRNA-OTHER". Lineage: Eukaryota; Metazoa; Chordata; Lepidosauria; Squamata; Phrynosomatidae. The record is from RNAcentral.
AGCUAACAUGGUGUAGUGGUUUGAGCAUUGGAUUACGACUCUGGAGACCAGGGUUCGAAUCCCUGUUCAGUUA